UGUUGAGCUUGACUUUAGUUUGACAUUGUGAAGAAUGAUGAAAGGUGUAGUGUAGCUAGAAGAUAGUUUCGGUGGCCAAUUAAACAGCGCCACUUUCAUCGAUUCUUUAGUUGUUCGGCAAAAACAGAAUUGAGUUUCGACUCUUGUUUUAUUUUUCUUAAGUAAAGUCACAUGGUGGUAAUGCCACUCUCGCCGAAAACAUUGUGAGGCGAGGAGUUCGAAUGAGGUGGUACAACAGUCAAACUCUAACGUAAGUGUCUUAGGGCUAGUUCAGGGAGGACGGAAACUUCUCGUAGAGCAAAAGGGUAAAAGCUUGCUUAACUCCAAUAAAAAUUCGCUUAUUUCUGGGUUAUAAACGGAAACGUGACCAAA
Molecule: non-coding RNA, 372 nt
Filed under: Angiostrongylus costaricensis
Lineage: Eukaryota; Metazoa; Nematoda; Chromadorea; Rhabditida; Metastrongylidae
Description: Eukaryotic large subunit ribosomal RNA
Rfam family: Eukaryotic large subunit ribosomal RNA
Source: Rfam by way of RNAcentral